RNAcentral lists this long non-coding RNA (503 nucleotides) under Capsicum annuum. Its description in RNAcentral is "long non-coding RNA (CANN_LNC015479)". Lineage: Eukaryota; Viridiplantae; Streptophyta; Magnoliopsida; Solanales; Solanaceae. The record is from RNAcentral.
UAAACAUGCAACUUUGACACAAAGAUGAAUUGAAGUAUUUAUAUUCAUCAAGCCAUUGGUGGUUCGACGCUCCAUGCAUAAUGAAAGUUUUAAUGCGUUUGACUACCUUUCUAAGCCUUUGAUGGUGCUGGUGCUGCUGCAGCUGCAGCUGCUGGUGCUGCUUCCACCUUGACAGGUGCCACAUCAGCAGGUGCAGGUACUUCUUCCACCUUAACGGGUGCCACAUCAGCAGGUGCUGAUUCCUCUUCUUUCUUUGAUUCUGCUGCUUCAACAACUAUGUCCUUCUCCUUCACCUCCACCUCUUCAGCUGAUGUGGCAGUUGUUGCUUCCACAUCAGCAGGUGCCACGUCAACAGGUGCUGGUUCCUCUUCUUUCUUCUUCUCUUCUUCUGGGAUGACUAUAAAUGUUGAUACUUUCUCGAACACAAAGCGAAUUGGGCCGGAUACAUAUGAAGGCCCAAAGUUUGAGCUUGCUUCACUUACUGCUUUCGAUCCCGGAAAUUC